CCUACGGGGGGCAGCAGUGAGGAAUAUUGGUCAAUGGACGAGAGUCUGAACCAGCCAAGUAGCGUGAAGGAUGACUGCCCUAUGGGUUGUAAACUUCUUUUAUAUGGGAAUAAAAUGUUCCACGUGUGGGAUUUUGUAUGUACCAUAAGAAUAAGGAUCGGCUAACUCCGUGCCAGCAGCCGCGGUAAUACGGAGGAGCCGAGCGUUAUCCGGAUUUAUUGGGUUUAAAGGGGGCGUAGGUGGAUUGUUAAGUCAGUUGUGAAAGUUUGCGGCUCAACCGUAAAAUUGCAGUUGAAACUGGCAGUCUUGAGUGCGGGAGAGGUAGGCGGAAUUCGUGGUGUAGCGGUGAAAUGCAUAGAUAUCACGAAGAACUCCGAUUGCGAAGGCAGUUCACUGGACUGCAACUGACACUGAGGCUCGAAAGUGUGGGUAUCGAACAGGAUUAGAUACCCGAGUAGUC
RNAcentral lists this ribosomal RNA (460 nucleotides) under uncultured bacterium. RNAcentral's name for it is "partial 16S ribosomal RNA". It matches the Rfam family "Bacterial small subunit ribosomal RNA", at positions 338 to 795 of the family's 1533-position model. The record is from RNAcentral.